Non-coding RNA from Pelobates cultripes (western spadefoot toad), 247 nucleotides. The record is from the annotation of a GenBank genome assembly. Lineage: Eukaryota; Metazoa; Chordata; Amphibia; Anura; Pelobatidae.
GAAUCGAAUAGUUUAGUAGAAACAGUGCAUUAUGAGUCUACUACUAUAACUUCAUGUUAACUAAGAGAGUGCCUGACCACAUCAAGAAGUAUAAUACUAAAUUGCUGUAUCUGAUAGUCCAAAAAAGAUGUACCAUCCAGAGAAAAACCAGGUAAGUGGGAGCAAAUAAGAAGAAAAAACUGAAAAAUGACAAAAAUUCCUUUGAAAAAUAAAAAAAAUAAAAGAGAAAAAAAAAAAAGAAAAAAAG